CAGGCUUUGGGGCCCUUCCUCAGGCCUGGGAGAGAAGCAGAUUUGGCCUGAACUCAGCACCAGUUGGCACAGUCACUGCUGUUUGACCCUGCUGUGUUAAGGGCAUUUUGUUUUAUUUCAAACACAAUGAGCUGGGCAGGAGCUAACCCGUUCUGCACAACUCAACGCCUGUGCGCCUGGGCCUGAGUGCCAGGGCAUGACCCUGAGCCGAAAUCCACAAAACAGCAGAGCCAGAAGUGUCAGAAAUGUCCCCAGAUCUCCAGCAAAGAUGGUUUCUAGCAUGUUUUACUCAGCUGCCUACAUCCCCAAAUCACAGCUUCAGAGAAGACCCGGGGCACUACCUGGGUCUCCAGCACAUUAAACCAGUUUCUGACAACAGCGCUUCUUGAUCUAAGGAGACCAACCUGGACUAGAGACUUUGCAUGGAUUCUACCACUCUUUCUGUUGUAAAAGUCUUUUUCAAACCUUCCGCAUCCAUCUUUGCAUAGAAAAGACAAGCCUAAUACUUGUGGGUUUCAGAAACAGGAUGUAUUUUGCUUGGUACCACAGAAACAGUUUACCUCAGCUACAAGGGAAGAUGUCUGUGUUUCACAGGUUCAUCUACAGUCAUUAUUGUAGGGUUUUUAUUCCCAGUUUUAAAAGCCCACAACAGCAAUGCCUAAUAUUGCUAUCAAAAAAUAAAGAGCGGAGAGUGGUAGAGAGCAUAAGACAUUUUAAGAUGGAAGGAUAGUAAUUGAAAUGUAACUUAUUCUGGAGUGGCUCCUAGCUGUUAAAAGAAUCAGGGAGUUAUGUCAAGAUGUCGUUAGGUGAUGGGGAAAAAGCCCUUUUCUGUCAAACAGGCUCCUUAAUGACUGCAAGGCAGGAUUCUGAUUUUGCAUCCAGUUUGGAAUUGACACCUCCGGCCUCACAUCGGUAGGCACUGGUUCAACAGUGACUUGGAAAAGAAGAGAACUGCUGCUUGAAUUGCCAAUUGCUGGGAGGAGGCUGCACAAAUAUCUUGACACUGUGACCAGAGGCGGUCAUUACCUACCCAAGGUCAUUGGUGAGGCUCCUACAUACCGCAUCAUUCGGAGCAGCCAGGCUUAGUCCGCUACUUUGAAUGAGCAUUGCUUUCAGUAAGGCUUCUGUCAGGAAUCUGGGGCUGCAUGAAAUCCCUGCCUGGCUGGCUGGCUGUACAGCGGGAGGCAGUGUGUGGGGUUGUGCCGUCAUCCUUGGUGACAGCAGUCUCCAACAUAUGCCAGGUCCCCUGCCCCACCGGGCCUGGGGUACUAGACACAGUAUAGAACCACCUUGCCAGGCCCUAUUCAAGACUGCUUCAAAGUUUUUCCCUCUGUGACAUGCAGUAGUGAAGUUGCCUGCACACAGACAAGCUCACGCCACUCACCUGGUGCCUGCAGCUGCUGUCCCAGUGACCUGGUGUAUUGCUGAUCCGCCUGUGCUGCAAACCUGCCAUGUACCCAUGGCAAUGGUGCUGCAUUUGCCCACAGCUGCGGGACCUGAGCACUUUACAAGCAUGAACAAGCAUGUCUGUGUGCCCAGGGACUCACUGAUUCAUAGAGUUUGAGGUCAGGAGCGAUGAUGCCCAUGUCACCAAUAUGCCACUGGCACAGAGCUGGUGACAGCGAUGACCAGCCCACACUGCUGCGAAGCACCAAGCUCACAUGCAGCAUGCUGUUUAUGACUAUGACACCAUGCUUACACUGAAGCCUUGCCAGAUGACGCAUAGAACUUCCCCUAGGCUCAGGGAGCGCUUUCCUCCCUCCCUGACUUCUCAUGGCAUCAGCUGGAUGCAGCUGAGGACUAAGUAUUGCAUCUGCAUCAUGUGGGGACUCUGAAAAGGGAGCCCAGAGUUGCAGCAUCUGAAUUUUGGAGAGCAGCAAGUUUCCUUGCUUUCUUCCUUGGGGUUCAGAGAUCAAGCCAAACUACAUUCUGCCUAAGAGUGACUUAUUUUUUAGCCCUGGCUCAUACAGAUUUUAUGAAACAGGAUUUUAUGUUUCUCCUCCCCAUGGUAUUUACCAGAUUGCUCCAAAUUACAUGGUGGUGAACAUGAAAGCCACAUACCUGUGGAGGAGAGAAUGAGUAGUUCUCAGUUUUCAGUCUGGCUCUCUUUCUCUCCCUACCCCUUCCCCACCUCUCCCUGCCUUGUGGAGCCAGCUGCUCCGAGAAUAGUUCAGGAAUGAAAUGUCACAGUUUGAAGCUGGUGAGUCACACUCUUCUACCAAAAUACGAUCUUGCAGCAUGUCUCCUGAUGGGGACAGCAAGACUUUUCAAAAUGCAAGCUUCCUGAUGGAGGCCAGGGUUCUGAAUAAACCCUGCGUGUUGUGUCCUGGCUGUUUGUUGCAUGAUGAUCAUAAGGUACUUUUCCAACUUUAAUUAUCUAGUUAACAUGCCCAUCACAAUCAGACCAGGUGCCUUAGCCAAAAGAGCUGCAUUGUUUCUGUCUGACAAUGCACCUACAGUAAGUCUCUUAAUUAAGUCUCCCUGCACUGCUGUGAGGUAUGUAAUUACAGUGAAACCUGCCUUAAGCAACAACUCAAGGGACCAACAAAAAUAAUUUCCUUACCAGAGCAGGGAGAAGCAGGAUUUUACUAGGUGCAUUUUGGGGUACUUUGGAGCAAGGUAGUAAAACAAGGAGGGGGCCUAAUUAAGGUGGUUCCUUCUCCAGGUUUCCCUGUGGUAGAUUAACAUCCUCAUGCUAUAUACUGGUAUGAUAUUAUUAAUAUUACUCUCAUAAUCAUAGCUUAGUAUAAUAGUACUAAUUAUACUAAUUAACAUUGUUCUCUUUUCAAAAGGCUCCCUAGGAUCUUCAUCUUCUAUUAGAGACUGCCAAAGGAUUGCCACUUAAAGCCAAUGGGACUAAUGUGUUUCUGUGAUGUGGACCAUUGUCCAUCAGAGAUCAGUGAAUGGAGGACCUUCCCUCCCCGCCCACAUUCAUAUUAUAUGAGAACCAUCAAAGAGCUUUCACAUGGCACCAAGGCUUAGUCAAAGUUGGGCCACAUCAGGCAUUGUUUGAUGAGGUUUUUGUCUCAGUGAGACCUGAAGGAUGUGGUGCAGUAUCAAGCUCUCUGCACUGGCAUAUUUUUGAACUAUUAAAAUGAUUUUAUAGAGAGUGCAGUAAAGUUUAACAAGUUUAUAGAGCUUGGGCUAGGACCCCACCUAUUCUGUAGCCACUGAGUUUGCCACAGAAUUCAGCCCUUGUUGCAGAUUUCUGCUCCAGAAUCUCCUUUUGUUGAAAAAGUAUCUCGCCCUCCUCAUGGUAAAGAUGGCCAAGAAAGGUGACAGGAGCACAAUGAGUGCAGUGCUGUAUGCUCUUGGCCAACUCAGGUGUGAAAUAGCAUGUCUGAGAGGUUUAAACUGCCUUCCUUGUCCCUGUGGGUUAUUACUUCUGAAACAGAAAGGGAACAAAUUAAUGCUUACGCGGUUAACACUUUCACUGUUGUUCCAUUCAGCUAGACGCUUCUGCUGAGAGCUUGGCCUCCAAACUGGCUCACGCUCCUUUCCCACUGCUGAAAGCCUCAAACAUCUUCUAAUCCACUUCCUGCCUCCCCACUAAAUCCUGAGGUGCCAUUAGCCAUUGUCAGUACAGCAGUGACACGUUGAAAAGUGACCAUGCAGGGACUGCCUGGAAUAAAGUCAAUGGACUUAAAAAUAAAUAACACGGGAGCUCCUGCGCUGACCGUAUUGCUCCCUUAAAUACUGAAUCCAGGAUGCACUUGACGUUUUAAAUACAUCUGAAGCUAUGGUAGAAUUUCACAGAUUUCCACCAGAAGCCAAGAAUUUUGCCACUGGAUUUACAGCACACAUGUGCGCUCAGUGAUUCCUCAGAACCUGAAAUCUCCAACUGGGAAUCAGGCUUCCAGACUCUCUCGUACCUCUGCAAGGUGUGGCUUCAAUACGCAAGGUUCCACCUCAUCCAAGCUAGGAUUUCUGCUCCAGUCCAAAGGUCACUGGUUCUAUCCAUUUGUUCUGUGAUUGGAAAAAGAUGACAAAGUUUAUUAACCAAGAUGAUUUUGGACAUUUAUUAGCAAGACAUUGUCAGGCAACAAUGGCAGCACAGACAGAGAAGCUGGUCCCAAUCCCAUAGUAUUUCCUGCAGGGCUCCCUCCAGCUCAUGGCUCUUCUCUGCUGAUCCUCUUGUAUUGUUUUUGAUAAUGAAUAGCAGCUGAUUGUUGCAUUGUCUAAUAAGUGAUUCAUUUACAUUAAGCAUCGCUUCAAAGUAGGAUUUGAUUUUUUUUUUCAAAGUCACUUCAGUUGUUUAGUUGUAGAGAUUCCAUUUUUUUGUAACCGCAUUGUUUGAAUGAUUUCUCGGUUGCUUCUACAAACAGCCAAAUUCCCCUGAUGUAACUUCCCAAGCAGCCUCUGGUGUCACAGAAGUGGAAUCAGGAUCCACAUUUUCAAAAGAGGCAGCUAUCAGUGGUCUUGAGUGGCCAGUUUGAGACCUCUGCCCUGAACUCCCUGUCAGUUUUGCUGUCCCUGUAAGUCCACGUGAGGGCAGGCAUAGAGCCUCAGCAAGUGGGAAUGGCCAGAGCUUCAUUGGCAUCCUGUUGAUCUGCCCCACC
Long non-coding RNA from Gavialis gangeticus (Gharial), 4559 nucleotides. RefSeq lists it as uncharacterized. The record is from RefSeq and is a predicted model, not a curated record. Lineage: Eukaryota; Metazoa; Chordata; Crocodylia; Gavialidae. The transcript is spliced from 3 exons.